AUGAUUAUCUCCAAGCCACCACUCCGCCCCUCUUUCCACUCGCCCUCCCUCGCCGCCGGCCCGCUCCGCCGCCACCGCCACCCCCACCCCCACCCCCACCUCGCCAACAAGCCCUUCUCCGUCGCCGUCGCCGUCGCGGCCUCCCCGUCCGACCUCCUCGCCAGCGUCCAGUCCGUCGCGUCCGCCGCGUCGGUCCUCGCGUCCAUCGUGCUCGUCCACGAGUCCGGCCACUUCGUCGCCGCCACCUCCCGGGGCAUCCACGUCUCCCAGUUCUCCAUCGGCUUCGGCCCCGCCCUCGCCAGCUUCCGCCUCGGCGCCGUCGAGUACGCGCUCCGGGCCAUCCCGCUCGGCGGCUACGUCGGCUUCCCCGACGACGACCCCGAGUCCGGCUUCGCGCCCGACGACCCCGACCUCCUCCGCAACCGCCCCGUCCCGGACCGCCUCCUCGUCGUCUCCGCGGGGGUCAUCGCCAACCUCAUCUUCGCCUUCCUCAUCAUCUACGCCCAGGCGGUCACCGUCGGCGUCCCCGUCCAGGCGCUGCUCUCCGGCGUCCUCGUCCCCGACGUCGUGCCCGGCUCCGCCGCCGCGCGCUCCGGGCUGCUCGCCGGCGAUGUCAUCCUCGCCGUCCCCGGCGCCGCGCCGGACCCGUCCGUGCCGGCCCUGGUCGACCUCAUCAAAUCCAGCCCCAACAAGAAGGUCCUCCUCAAGGUGUCAAGAGCCGGGCCUGCGGCCGGGGACAAGCCGCAGUUCCUCGACCUCACCGUCGUGCCGGACACGAGCGUCGACGGGACGGGGCGCAUCGGCGUGCAGCUGUCGCCCAACUACCGGGCCACGCGCGUGCACCCAAGGAACGCGUCCGAGGCCACCGUCCUCGCCGUGCGCGAGUUCAGGGCGCUGGGCGGGGCCGUGCUCGACGGGCUCCGGCAGACGUUCCUCAACUUCUCGCAGACGGCGGAGAAGGUGUCGGGCCCGGUCGCCAUAAUCGCCGUCGGCGCGGAGGUGGCGAGGUCGAGCGCCGACGGGCUGUUCCAGUUCGCGGCGAUCAUCAACCUCAACCUCGCGGCGAUCAACCUGCUGCCGCUGCCGGCGUUGGACGGCGGGACGCUGGCGCUGAUCCUUCUGGAGGCGGCCCGCGGCGGGCAGAAGAUCCCCCGUGAGAUCGAGCGGAGGAUAAUGUCGUCGGGGAUAUUGCUGGUGCUCAUGGUCAGCAUGUUCCUCAUCGUGCGCGACACGCUCAAUCUAGACUUCAUCAAACAGAAUAUGUAG
This 1266-nucleotide ribosomal RNA is filed under the name Triticum aestivum (bread wheat). RNAcentral describes it as "partial small subunit ribosomal RNA". Lineage: Eukaryota; Viridiplantae; Streptophyta; Magnoliopsida; Poales; Poaceae. The record is from RNAcentral.